CCGGCUUCAGGUGUUACCGACUUUCAUGACUUGACGGGCGGUGUGUACAAGACCCGGGAACGUAUUCACCGCAGCGUUGCUGAUCUGCGAUUACUAGCGACUCCGACUUCAUGAGGUCGAGUUGCAGACCUCAAUCCGAACUGGGACCGGCUUUUUGGGAUUCGCUCCACCUUACGGUAUUGCAGCCCUUUGUACCGGCCAUUGUAGCAUGCGUGAAGCCCAAGACAUAAGGGGCAUGAUGAUUUGACGUCAUCCCCACCUUCCUCCGAGUUGACCCCGGCAGUAUCCCAUGAGUUCCCACCAUUACGUGCUGGCAACAUAGAACGAGGGUUGCGCUCGUUGCGGGACUUAACCCAACAUCUCACGACACGAGCUGACGACAACCAUGCACCACCUGUUUACGAGUGUCCAAAGAGUUCUACAUUUCUGCAGCGUUCUCGUAUAUGUCAAGCCUUGGUAAGGUUCUUCGCGUUGCAUCGAAUUAAUCCGCAUGCUCCGCCGCUUGUGCGGGUCCCCGUCAAUUCCUUUGAGUUUUAGCCUUGCGGCCGUACUCCCCAGGCGGGGAACUUAAUGCGUUAGCUGCGUCACGGAAUCCGUGGAAUGGACCCCACAACUAGUUCCCAACGUUUACGGGGUGGACUACCAGGGUAUCUAAGCCUGUUUGCUCCCCACCCUUUCGCUCCUCAGCGUCAGUUACGGCCCAGAGAUCUGCCUUCGCCAUCGGUGUUCCUCCUGAUAUCUGCGCAUUCCACCGCUACACCAGGAAUUCCAAUCUCCCCUACCGCACUCUAGUCUGCCCGUACCCACUGCAGACCCGAGGUUGAGCCUCGGGAUUUCACAGCAGACGCGACAAACCGCCUACGAGCUCUUUACGCCCAAUAAUUCCGGAUAACGCUUGCGCCCUACGUAUUACCGCGGCUGCUGGCACGUAGUUAGCCGGCGCUUUUUCUGCAGGUACCGUCACUCACGCUUCUUCCCUGCUAAAAGAGGUUUACAACCCGAAGGCCGUCAUCCCUCACGCGGCGUUGCUGCAUCAGGCUUUCGCCCAUUGUGCAAUAUUCCCCACUGCUGCCUCCCGUAGGAGUCUGGGCCGUGUCUCAGUCCCAGUGUGGCCGGUCACCCUCUCAGGCCGGCUACCCGUCGACGCCUUGGUGAGCCAUUACCUCACCAACAAGCUGAUAGGCCGCGAGCUCAUCCCUGACCAAAAAAUCUUUCCAACCGUUGAAGAUGCCUCCACGGUUCGUAUCCAGUAUUAGACGCCGUUUCCAGCGCUUAUCCCAGAGUCAGGGGCAGAUUGCUCACGUGUUACUCACCCGUUCGCCACUGAUCCACCCAGCAAGCU
Molecule: ribosomal RNA, 1342 nt
Filed under: Microbacterium laevaniformans
Lineage: Bacteria; Bacillati; Actinomycetota; Actinomycetes; Micrococcales; Microbacteriaceae
Description: partial 16S ribosomal RNA
Source: RNAcentral